Molecule: ribosomal RNA, 3621 nt
Filed under: Durio zibethinus
Lineage: Eukaryota; Viridiplantae; Streptophyta; Magnoliopsida; Malvales; Malvaceae
Description: eukaryotic LSU rRNA
Rfam family: Eukaryotic large subunit ribosomal RNA (bases 390-3621)
Source: RNAcentral
ACAACUCUCAGCAAUGGAUAUCUCAAUCUUGCAUCGAUGAAGAAUGUACUAAAAUGUGAUACAUAGUGUGAAUUGUAGAAUCCCAUGAACCAUUGAGUCUUUGAAUGCAAGAUGUGCUACAAGCCAUUAGGCCGAGGGCACGUCUGCUUGGGUGUCAAGAAUUGUCUCCCCCUCUAAACCAGCACCCAUUAGGCUUUAUAGUAAGGGGUUGAAAAUCGCCCCUCAUGAUCUCAUCAAUCAUGGUUGGCCCAAAAUCGAGUCCUUGGUAAUGAUAGCAUCAUGAUCGUUGGUGGUAAAGCUCUUGGCAUGCCUCAAUUGCGAUGACCCAUGCUCGUUGUCCAUCUAGAUCGUAUUAGACCCCUCGCAUCACUUGAUUGAUGCUAACAUCGUGACCCCAGGUCAAGUAGGAUUACUUGAUGAAUUUAAGCAUAUCAAUAUGUAGAGAAAAAGAAACUUACCUAGAUUUCCCUAGUAAUAACAAGUGAACCAGAAAGAGGCCAGCUUGAGAAUUAGGUGCCCAAAGCAUCUGAAUUGUAGUUUACAGAAGUGUCCUCAGUGGUGGACUAGGCCCAAGUCCCCAAGAAAGGGGAGCCAAAAAAGCUAAGAGCCCUAUUGUGCCUAGGCCCUAUCACACCAUGAGGCGCUAUCUGUGAGUCAGGUUGUUUGGGUAUAUAGCCCCAAUAGGGUAGUAAAUUCCAUCCAAGGUUGAAUAUGGGUGAGAAACUGAUAGAGAAUAAGUAUCACGAGGGAAAUAUGAAAAAGACUUUGAAAAGAGAGUCAAAGAGUUAUUGAAAUUAUCAAGAAAAAAGUGAAAUGGGGGCCAAUGAUGCAUCUUGGUUAAAUGUGAAACAACGAUAGUCAGUCCAUAGAUCAGCUAGGGCAUGGACCAUUUUAGGUCGUGACGGUGGCCCGAACCCAAGCUUUCAAUAUGCCUAUGGAGACAUCAUUACCACGAUUAUAAAAUAUAGCACAUACCAUCUUAACAUGCCUUAACACUCACGUGCUCCUAACAUAGGCCUACAGGUUCCUCAUCCGGCCCAUCUUGAAACAUAGACCAAAGAGUCUAACAUGUGUGUGAGUCAAUGGGGUAGAAAACCUAUAAAACACAAGGAAGCUGAUUCAUGGGAUCCUUCGCGAGUGAGCUACUGACUGACCUUGAUCUUCUGAUAAGGGUUCGAGCGUGAGCAUGCCUGUAAAGACUUAAAAGAUAAAAAACUAUGCCUAAGUGGGACAAGUUAGAGGAAACUAUGGUGGAGGCCCACAAUGAUACUAGCAUGUAAAUUGUUCAUCUAACUUGGGUAUAGGCAUGAAAGACUAAUCAAACUGUUUAAUAACUAGUUCCUUCUGAAGUUUUCCUUAGGAUAAUUGGAGCCCUUAGUGAAUUCCAUCAGGUAAAGCUAAUGAUUAGAGGCAUCAGGGCCACAACACCCUAGACCUAUUCUUAAACUUUAAAUAGGUUGGAUGGUGCAACUUCAUUAAGCCGUGCCAUGAAAUUGAGAGCUCCAAGUGGGCCAUUUUUGGUAAGUAGAACUAGCAAUACAGGAUGAACCAAAAGCCAAGUUAUGUUGCCUAACUUUGCACUAACCUAGAACCCACAAAGUGUGUUGGUCGAUUAAGAUAACAUAACAGUGGUCAUGGAAGUUGAAAUUUGGUAAAGAGUGUGCAACAACUCACCUACCAAAUCAACUAGCCUUGAAAAUGGAUGAUGCUUAAACACAUGACCUAUACUCAACUAUCAAGGUAAGGGCCAAGCCCCGAUGAGUAAGAAGGCACAUGGUCACUGCAAAACCUGAGGCAUGAGCUUGGGUGGAGCAGCUGUUAGUGUAGAUCUUGGCAUUAGUAGUAAAUAUUCAAAUGAAAACUUUGAAGGCUAAAGAAAGGAAAGGUUUCAUGUGAAUGGCACUUGCAUAUGGGUCAGUUGAUCCUAAGAAUGGGGGAAGAUAGUCUAAUAGUGCAUCUAACACAAGCUUUGAAAGGGAAUAUGGUUAAAAUUCUUGAACCGAGAUGCAGCGAUUGAUGGCAACGUUAGAGAAUCUAGAGACAUUGGUGGGGUCCUCGAAAAGAGUUCUCUUUUCUAUUUCAUGGCCUCUCCACUCUAAAAAUGACUCAACUGUAGGUAGGGUCCAGUAGCCAGAUGAGCAAUGUAUGUUGCUUGGUGUUUGGUACACCCCUGGUAACCCUUGAAAAUUUGGAGCACCGAAUGCCAUCCGUGUCCGAUCAUAUUCAUAACCACAUCAGGUCUCCAAGGUAAACAACCAUUGGUCAAUGGAACAAUGUAUGCAAGAGAAGUCGGCAAAAUGGAUUCGUAACCUUGGGAAAAGGAUUAGCUCUGAGGGUUGUGCAUGGGGGUCCUAUUUUUGAACCCAUCAGCUAUUAAUGCACUAUUGAGCUACUCCCAUGGCAAGAGCAAGUCACCUUGUGUCGGUUGAGAGCUUUCCCCAAACAAUGAAUAGUCAACUUUGAACUAGUAUGGACAAAGAGAAUUUGACUAUUUAAUUAAAACAAAACAUUGCGAUAGUCCCUACAGAUGCUCACACAACGUGAUUUUUCCCUAGUGCUUUGAAUGUCAAAGUGAAAAAAUUGAACCAAGCGUAGGUAAAUGGCAGGAGUAACUAUGACUCUCUUAAGGUAGCCAAAUGCCUUGUCAUCUAAUUAUUGAUGCACAUGAAAGGAUUAAUGAGAUUCCCACUAUCCUUGUCUACUAUCUAGCGAAACUACACCCAAGGGAAUGGGUUUGGCAGAAUCAACAAGGAAAGAAGACCUAAUUGAGCUUGACUCUUGUCUGACUUUGUGAAAUGACUUAAGAGGUGUAGGAUAAGUGAGAGCCUUUGGGUGAAAUUGAAAUACCACUACUUUUAAUGCUACUUUACUUAUUCUGUAAAUCAAAGGUAGGGCACAACCCUUUCUUUUAAACCCAAAGCUAGCCUCGAUUAAUCAAUUUAGGUGAAAGACAUUAUCAAGUAGGAAGUUUGGCUGGGGUGGCAUAUCUGUUAAAAGAUUAUGCAAGUGUCCUAAGAUGAGCUCAAUAAGAAUAGAAAUCUCAUGUAGAACAAAAGGGUAAAAGCUCAUUUGAUUUUGAUUUCUAGUACAAAUACAAACUAUGAAAGCAUGGCCACCAUCAGAAUUUAAAACUAGAGGUGUUAAAAACCACAUGGAUAAUUGGCUUAUGGCAGCCAAGCAUUCAUAGUGACUUUGCUUCUUGAUCCUUUAAUUUUAGCUUUUUCGAUCAUUAUGAAGCAAAAUUCACCAAGUGUUGGAUUGUCACUAGGUCCUGGGAACAUGAACUAGGUUUAGACUAUCAUGAGAUAGGUUAGAUUUACUUAUUGAUUGCAGUGUCGCAAUAAUAAUUCAACCUAGUAUGAAAACAAUCGUUGAUUCGCACAAUAGGUCAUCACACUUGGUUGAAAAGCCAAAGGCAUAAAGCUACCAUGUGCUGGAUUACAACCAAAUGCCUUCAAGUCAAAAUCUAGGCUAAAAGUGAUGCAUGUGCUUGUCACCCAAAUGUUGACCCAUAGUAAGGGCCAAUGCCCCCAAAGACAUGUGUCUUAGGUGUAGCCCUCAUGGUGAACAAGCCACACGAGCCUUCUUGGAGCUCAAUUCCCAUUGAGUACAGGUAGAAUC